RNAcentral lists this ribosomal RNA (548 nucleotides) under uncultured Eubacteriales bacterium. Its description in RNAcentral is "bacterial SSU rRNA". It matches the Rfam family "Bacterial small subunit ribosomal RNA", at positions 19 to 573 of the family's 1533-position model. The record is from RNAcentral. Lineage: Bacteria; Bacillati; Bacillota; Clostridia; Eubacteriales.
CUGGCUCAGGACGAACGCUGGCGGCGCGCCUAACACAUGCAAGUCGAACGAGAUGAUUUAAAGUGCUUGCACUUUAAGUCAUCUAGUGGCGGACGGGUGAGUAACACGUGAGCAACCUGCCUUAAAGAGGGGGAUACCGUCUGGAAACGGACGUUAAUACCGCAUACGAUGCGAGAGUGGCAUCACUUUCGUAUGAAAGGAGCAAUCCGCUUUAAGAUGGGCUCGCGCCCGAUUAGGUAGUUGGUGAGGUAACGGCCCACCAAGCCCGCGAUCGGUAGCCGGACUGAGAGGUUGAACGGCCACAUUGGGACUGAGACACGGCCCAGACUCCUACGGGAGGCAGCAGUGGGGGAUAUUGCACAAUGGGGGAAACCCUGAUGCAGCGACGCCGCGUGAGUGAAGACGGUCUUCGGAUUGUAAAGCUCUGUCAACGGGGACGAUAAUGACGGUACCCGUGGAGGAAGCCACGGCUAACUACGUGCCAGCAGCCGCGGUAAUACGUAGGUGGCGAGCGUUGUCCGGAAUUACUGGGUGUAACAGGGAGCGCA